RNAcentral lists this non-coding RNA (46 nucleotides) under Schistosoma mattheei. The record is from RNAcentral. Lineage: Eukaryota; Metazoa; Platyhelminthes; Trematoda; Strigeidida; Schistosomatidae.
AUACUUCUGAGGAGUCCUAUACUAGGACGAAAUGGCCAUCUAGUGU